CCUACGGGGUGCAGCAGUGAGGAAUAUUGGUCAAUGGGCGCGAGCCUGAACCAGCCAAGUCGCGUGAGGGAAGACGGUCCUAUGGAUUGUAAACCUCUUUUGUCGGGGAGCAAAGCGAGUCACGUGUGACUCAUUGAGAGUACCCGAAGAAAAAGCAUCGGCUAACUCCGUGCCAGCAGCCGCGGUAAUACGGAGGGUGCGAGCGUUAAUCGGAAUUACUGGGCGUAAAGCGCUCGUAGGCGGUAUGUCAAGUCAAGGGUGAAAUCCCCGCGCUCAACGUGGGAACUGCCUUUGAAACUGGCAAACUGGAGUGUGUGAGAGGAUAGUGGAAUUCCAGGUGUAGGAGUGAAAUCCGUAGAUAUCUGGAGGAACAUCAGUGGCGAAGGCGACUAUCUGGCACAUAACUGACGCUGAGGAGCGAAAGCGUGGGUAGCAAACAGGAUUAGAUACCCCUGUAGUC
RNAcentral lists this ribosomal RNA (460 nucleotides) under uncultured bacterium. RNAcentral's name for it is "partial 16S ribosomal RNA". It matches the Rfam family "Bacterial small subunit ribosomal RNA", at positions 338 to 795 of the family's 1533-position model. The record is from RNAcentral.